GACGAACGCUGGCGGCGUGCCUAAUACAUGCAAGUCGAACGCUUUUUCUUUCACCGGAGCUUGCUCCACCGAAAGAAAAAGAGUGGCGAACGGGUGAGUAACACGUGGGUAACCUGCCCAUCAGAAGGGGAUAACACUUGGAAACAGGUGCUAAUACCGUAUAACACUAUUUUCCGCAUGGAAGAAAGUUGAAAGGCGCUUUUGCGUCACUGAUGGAUGGACCCGCGGUGCAUUAGCUAGUUGGUGAGGUAACGGCUCACCAAGGCAACGAUGCAUAGCCGACCUGAGAGGGUGAUCGGCCACACUGGGACUGAGACACGGCCCAGACUCCUACGGGAGGCAGCAGUAGGGAACCUUCGGCAAUGGACGAAAGUCUGACCGAGCAACGCCGCGUGAGUGAAGAAGGUUUUCGGAUCGUAAAACUCUGUUGUUAGAGAAGAACAAGGAUGAGAGUAAAAUGUUCAUCCCUUGACGGUAUCUAACCAGAAAGCCACGGCUAACUACGUGCCAGCAGCCGCCGUAA
RNAcentral lists this ribosomal RNA (523 nucleotides) under uncultured bacterium. Its description in RNAcentral is "partial 16S ribosomal RNA". It matches the Rfam family "Bacterial small subunit ribosomal RNA", at positions 28 to 523 of the family's 1533-position model. The record is from RNAcentral.